GAUGGGGGGCACCUCAUCUUCGCUGGUUUCGUUCUGCGGUGAAAGAGGUACAUGGGUACGUGCACCAACCCACCUUAAUGGUUUCCAUCAGGGAUUGCACCUUCUGCUCGUCCAGGACGGAGGGAAUGGGUCGCUGGAUGACGCUCAUGGGCACCAGGUGGGUCUCAUCGAUGCCGGCGGAGUGAACGGUGGUGUCCAUGGUGCUGCAGCUGGAUCUGUAUCUGCGGAAUGCCUGUCGAUUGGUCAAAGAUCUUGGCCAGUUGUGAAAUUUCACCAAAAACAACCGCGUUAUCAAUGAUUGGACCCAAUGCGGCGGUGCGUCUGCUCGUCGCUCGCAAGAAAUGGCUAAUGAACUCCAUGGCGGACAAUUGCACGAUUUUUGACACCGCACGGCGUUGAAACUUGUUUGCUGCUCAUGUGUGGGUUCGUUUACCGCUAUAUGUUGUUUUGCUGCAGCUACUUGUUGUUUGUUUUAUGCAUAAUCAUACCCCCCACCACCCACAAACGCACACACACACAUGCGACCAGUAUUGCCAGUGCGAU
Molecule: non-coding RNA, 543 nt
Organism: Drosophila melanogaster (fruit fly)
Lineage: Eukaryota; Metazoa; Arthropoda; Insecta; Diptera; Drosophilidae
Source: Ensembl